This 229-nucleotide ribosomal RNA is filed under the name uncultured bacterium. RNAcentral's name for it is "partial 16S ribosomal RNA". It matches the Rfam family "Bacterial small subunit ribosomal RNA", at positions 118 to 350 of the family's 1533-position model. The record is from RNAcentral.
UGGGCAACCUGCCCCUAGCUCUGGGAUAACUCCGGGAAACCGGGCUAAUACCGGAUACGACCUCGGGUGGCAUCACCUGAGGUGGAAAGUUUUUCGGCUAGGGAUGGGCCCGCGGCCUAUCAGCUUGUUGGUGAGGUAACGGCCCACCAAGGCGACGACGGGUAGCCGGCCUGAGAGGGCGACCGGCCACACUGGGACUGAGACACGGUCCAGACUCCUACGGGAGGUA